This 465-nucleotide ribosomal RNA is filed under the name uncultured bacterium. RNAcentral describes it as "partial 16S ribosomal RNA". It matches the Rfam family "Bacterial small subunit ribosomal RNA", at positions 28 to 507 of the family's 1533-position model. The record is from RNAcentral.
GACGAACGCUGGCGGCGUGCUUAACACAUGCAAGUCGAACGGAAAGGCCCUGCUUGCAGGGUACUCGAGUGGCGAACGGGUGAGUAACACGUGGGUGAUCUGCCCUGCACUUCGGGAUAAGCCUGGGAAACUGGGCCUAAUACCGGAUAGGAGCCAUUUUUAGUGUGAUGGUUGGAAAGUUUUUUCGGUGUAGGAUGAGCUCGCGGCCUAUCAGCUUGUUGGUGGGGUAAUGGCCUACCAAGGCGGCGACGGGUAGCCGGCCUGAGAGGGUGGACGGCCACAUUGGGACUGAGGUGCGGCCCCGACUCCUACGGGAGGCAGCAGUGGGGAAUAUUGCACAAUGGGCGCAAGCCUGAUGCAGCGACGCCGCGUGGGGGAUGACGGCCUUCGGGUUGUAAACUCCUUUCGCUAGGGACGAAGCUUUUUGUGACGGUACCUAGAUAAGAAGCACCGGCUAACUACGUG